CUUCUAUAUGUUCUUGAAAUUCAUAAACUGGGGUCUCUUAUUUAUAUUCAAGUUUUAUGUUGUAAUAUUUUGCUUUAGGACUGGGGUUGUAGCUCAGUGGUAAAGCAUUUGCCUAGCAUGUGAGAGGCACUGGGUUCAAUCCUUAGCACCACAUAAAAAUAAAGAUCUUGUGCCCAUCUACAACUAAAAGAACAUAAAUAUUUUGCUUUAUAUAUUUAUAAGAUAUUCAUUAAUCCAUUCAUUAGUAUUUUUAUUAGGAUUGUGGCUCUGAAAUCUCAUAAUUAUCAGUAUUAUUAAAGACAUUGGGAGCCAGUGAAUGAUUUUGAUCCAGUUGGUGGCUGUUUGAAAUGUGUUUAUUUAUUUAUUGUGGUGGUAAGGAUUGAACAGAGCUUUGCACAUUCUAGACAGUCACGCUAUCACUGGGUUGUAUCUCCAGUGCCUGCAAUUGAUUUUUUUAAAAAAAAUUUUUAAAGAACAUUUAUCUGGUUGAGGUAACAGAAUCAGUUGGGGAGAUGGGAAUACAAGGAGGAAAGACAUUUUUAAAGAGUUAAAAGUGAUAAGAAAUACGUUUAUGUUGGCUAGAAUGGAAAGAAAACUUUUAAGUGACAUUGAUGAUUCUGUAUGAAGAAGACAUGAGAUAAUUGAGAUAACAAGGAAGAGACAGUUUAGCUAAAAAAAUAUUAUGAAGUUUGUGUUAGACAAAUUGGUGUGAUUUCUGUUUGAGUGAUUUUUAUUGUUACCUGAAUUUAGGUCCUUCUUAUUUUAUGCUUGAUAAUUUGAAUAUCUUCAUGAUUGGCUUUCCUUCCUGC
RNAcentral lists this long non-coding RNA (809 nucleotides) under Marmota monax (woodchuck). Lineage: Eukaryota; Metazoa; Chordata; Mammalia; Rodentia; Sciuridae. The record is from RNAcentral.